This 3388-nucleotide long non-coding RNA is filed under the name Homo sapiens (human). RNAcentral describes it as "HSALNT0374043". The record is from RNAcentral. Lineage: Eukaryota; Metazoa; Chordata; Mammalia; Primates; Hominidae.
GUUCUGCUUUCAGCAGCUACUUUUCUGGUUUGAAGGGGGGAAGGAAAAAAAAACUGGGGAGAACUAGGCGGCUUUCUGAUCAGAGUUCAGAUAAAAAGGGUCACAGUAAUUUGUGGGCACUGACUAAAAUAACCCAAUGGAUUUGAGAGUUACCGCAAAAGAAGCAAACAGACAAACUAAAGAGAACUUGAACUUGGGUACUGACAAAUGAAGAUGAUGAACUUAUGUUUUUUACCUUCUUACCGUGUAUAACUCCUACUUGAAGAGUGUGAGAGAAUAUUUACUACUCGGAUGUUUGAGACAUACCAAAAAAUGCUUUUUGAUCCUUUAUCAAGAAGACGUAAUGACCAAGAUUGAUAAAGAAAAAUGCAAUGGUUACUUUACCUGCAACCAUCUCAAAGACGCUCUAAUGUCAUUUCAGAGGACUUCAGCCAUGAACUUGGUGAUGAGCCAGAGAAGGUAACUUUUCAUCCCCUACAAGACCUCCCAGAGGCCUUUAUUCUUCUUACAGCGAUUCUGCUGUGAAUUCGUACGGAAUGGGCUCCAGCAGCUCAGGCUACUUUCCACUGGGUCUCACAAAGUGUGCUUCUCGAAGCAGGCUGGGGCUUCCCUUGAACCCAGAUUCCCACUUAUGUACCUAAAGGAGCAACUCCAUGUUUUCCAAAAGGCCUGAAAAACAUAUAGCAGAUUCCAUGUUGCAGCUAACCUUAAAGAAAUCAUCACUUGGAACUGAUUCAGAAUCCCAUAUCACAUUUUGUUAUUACUUUUGCCUGGUCUCCUGCUGUCUGGAACAGUUUUUCAGUCUUCCUUCAUUUUCAAGAGUGUGAAAGGAUCCCAAGACCAAAAGUCUGGGAACUGCUGGUUUAGAGUCACAAUACUGACUGCUCAAAAUGACUUUUUAAAGAAGAAAGCCUUAAAAACCCUUGAGUGAAUGGUUGGUAUUUACAGACAAGCAAAUGUAUGGAAGAGAAACGAGAGACCCAGCCUGAAUCUGUUGAAUGAACGAAAGGGGAAAUGCCCUAAGGAGUCAGAUGGAAGAAGUUUUUCUGGGAAGAGCAGAACACAGGAGUUGGGGUGCAGACCUCCUGGAUCACCAGCAGAAGGAAAAGAGCAGUGAGACGUUAAAGUGAUUGAGACAAAAAUGGAAGUAAAACAGCUUAAGGCUUUCUGAGAUCGAGUUCCUGGCAGUGUCAUCAGCAGAUGGUUUCUUCUGAAGUUCAGGGGAAGAGAAGAUGCUCGAAGAACUCUCCAGGGACUGAGUGGGUGGUACAGAGCUAGUGCUGUAGAUGCCAUGUAUACAGGCAAAUUCCCCAAUGAGUGUUUUCCAAUAUCAAGUUUAACUGGCAUUUAAGAUAUAUGCCAAAGGUAGGUAAAUUAUUUUGGCCUGUGCUUAUAGGUUUAUUUCCCUGGAUGAAGCUUUCUGUCUCUGUCCUAGUGCACUGUAGCAGAUGCAGGGUCUUUCCAUACAAUACAUUAAAAGCUGCAUCUCAUUUUAAAUAUAUUAUAGAAACCCUGAUCAUACAAUACAUACAAGAUUUUUAAGAUCAGCCUUCAGUCGAUUUUUUUGCUUUAUUUUUGUUCUGGAGGUCAAAAUGAGUGGUUAACUGUCUAAGUUGAUUGCAGAGAAAGUUACUACUCAUUCUAAACGUAGGUUUUUAGAAAAGUGUUCUUGGCAGUUGCUACCAUUGGCUUUUUCCAACUUACAUGGGAAUCAAGAUUCAGAACUGGUACACCAAUGGGAAGAGCCUGGAAAAUAGACUAUUGAUCAAGAUGAAUCUGGUCCAGAUACUUUAAGACCUUUUCAGUGUGUUUUUAAGAUUAUAAGUUUGAACUAACAGAAACUUCAAUGCUGUUUUUUCACAAGUCAAUGUGUAGUGUACUGUUAUUCUUUUUUUUCCUGUAAUAUCUUAAUAAUAUUCCUGGCUGUAAGAAAAAGUUAACACUAUACCUAUGUUUUGACUUACUUUAUAGAAGACCCAAACAAUAUUUAACAAAAGGAUUUUUCUCAAAUACUAUUUUGAAAUCACUAUAUUAGACACUAUCUUAAAUUUAUUUCUCAAUUUGCUUCUUUUUGAAACUUCCACAUUUUGGUGUUCUUUUCAGCAUCACUCAUUUUCUUUCAUAAUAAAGAUACCCAAUAACAAUAUCAUAAUAAAGAUUUGAUAACAAAUCUCCAGUUUUGGAGUGUUACAUUUCAUAUCUACAUGCUUACAGAGAAUUUAGUAUGAAUAUUCCCUGGCCUUAGUUCCUCUAAGCCUAGGAUACUUGUAGUCAUUUGGCAAAUAAUUUAAUCCAUGGCAAACAUGAGUCUUAAUACAAAAAUUAUUGAGUAGGCAAAAAAUAAUUGAACAUAUUUUGGACUGAUUACCAGUGCAUUAAAAAAGUAGAGGUUUAAGGAUGAGAAUAAUAAGUUUUUUUGUUUUUACUUAAAUUUAUAUAAAAGGAGUGAAAAUACAGUAGCCUAUAGUACUUAAGAGUGUGGGUAUAUUUUCAGCACUUAAUAAUUACUAGUUGAAUUGCAUAAUAUGGGACUAUAACUGAUAUGGUUUGGCUCUGUGUCCCCGCCCAAAUCUCAUGUUGAAUUAUAAUUUCCAAUAUUGGAGGAGGUACCUAGUGGGAGGUGACUGGAUCAUUGGGGGAAAUUUCCCCCUUGCUGUCCUCAUGAUAGUGAGUGAGUUCUCACAAGAUCUGAUGGUUUAAAAGUGUGUGGCAUUUCCCCCUUUACUCUUUCUCUCUCCUGCUGGCCAUGAGAAUAAGUGCUUGCUUCCCAUUCACCUUCUGCCAUGCUUGUGUUUCCUGAGGCUUCCCAGCCAUGCUUCUUGUUCAAGCUGCAGAACUGUGAGUCAAUUAAACCUCAUUUCUUCAUAAAUUACCCAGUCUCAGCUCUUUAUGGGAGUGUGAGAAUGGACUAAUAAAAUAUCUCUAGAAUUAUGUUUUUGGAGAUAAUUUAAAGAUAAACAAAUAUUGGAAACCUCAUUUGAUCACACAGAGAACAGUAAAUGGAAGUUCUACUUUUUCUCCAGGGCCUUUCUCAUGCUUAUGCAGGGAUUAUUCACCCAGAUAUCCUGAAAUAAGACAUCCAAUUAAGGUACCUGCUAUCUCAUGUAACACAGAAGAAAGUUGAGCAUAGAGGUUAAACAUUACCUAAUAUUGUUGGAAAAGCUUCGAAGCGUUCAUUUUCAAAGCAGCUAAUGUAAACCAUGAUAAUCACUAGUAGCACUAUGCCAUUUUAAAUACUUCAAUAUUUUGUAGUUAUUAGAUUCUAAGUAAGUAUAAAAUGUAGUGAAUACAAAUUUUAUUUGCCUAAACAGUGUUAGACAAUAUAAAUUAACGAGUUAUUUUUUAUUCUGUUUAAUAUUUUCAAGCCAAUAAACACUUUACUAAAGUA